Siniperca chuatsi (mandarin fish) is the source of this 65-nucleotide small nucleolar RNA. RefSeq annotates it as small nucleolar RNA SNORD58. NCBI's taxonomy places the organism in Eukaryota, Metazoa, Chordata, Actinopteri, Centrarchiformes, Sinipercidae. The record is from RefSeq and is a predicted model, not a curated record. The transcript has a single exon.
UUGCAGUGAUGACUACUUAGGACACCUUUGCAUUGACCAUGAAAACACUGUAUCGUCUGAGCGGC